CGACGUAGGUAACCUGCCUGGUAGCGGGGGGUAACUAUUGGAAACGAUAGCUAAUACCGCAUAAGAGUAGAUGUUGCAUGACAUUUACUUAAAAGGUGCAAUUGCACCACUACCAGAUGGACCUGCGUUGUAUUAGCUAGUUGGUGAGGUAACGGCUCACCAAGGCAACGAUACAUAGCCGACCUGAGAGGGUGAUCGGCCACACUGGGACUGAGACACGGCCCAG
This 226-nucleotide ribosomal RNA is filed under the name uncultured bacterium. RNAcentral describes it as "partial 16S ribosomal RNA". It matches the Rfam family "Bacterial small subunit ribosomal RNA", at positions 113 to 334 of the family's 1533-position model. The record is from RNAcentral.